GACGAACGCUGGCGGCGGGCUUAACACAUGCAAGUCGAACGGAAAGGCCCUGCUUUUGUGGGGUGCUCGAGUGGCGAACGGGUGAGUAACACGUGAGUAACCUGCCCUUGACUUUGGGAUAACUUCAGGAAACUGGGGCUAAUACCGGAUAGGAGCUCCUGCUGCAUGGUGGGGGUUGGAAAGUUUCGGCGGUUGGGGAUGGACUCGCGGCUUAUCAGCUUGUUGGUGGGGUAGUGGCUUACCAAGGCUUUGACGGGUAGCCGGCCUGAGAGGGUGACCGGCCACAUUGGGACUGAGAUACGGCCCAGACUCCUACGGGAGGCAGCAGUGGGGAAUAUUGCACAAUGGGCGGAAGCCUGAUGCAGCAACGCCGCGUGCGGGAUGACGGCCUUCGGGUUGUAAACCGCUUUCGCCUGUGACGAAGCGUGAGUGACGGUAAUGGGUAAAGAAGCACCGGCUAACUACGUGCCAGCAGCCGCGGUGAUACGUAGGGUGCGAGCGUUGUCCGGAUUUAUUGGGCGUAAAGGGCUCGUAGGUGGUUGAUCGCGUCGGAAGUGUAAUCUUGGGGCUUAACCCUGAGCGUGCUUUCGAUACGGGUUGACUUGAGGAAGGUAGGGGAGAAUGGAAUUCCUGGUGGAGCGGUGGAAUGCGCAGAUAUCAGGAGGAACACCAGUGGCGAAGGCGGUUCUCUGGGCCUUUCCUGACGCUGAGGAGCGAAAGCGUGGGGAGCGAACAGGCUUAGAUACCCUGGUAGUCCACGCUGUAAACGGUGGGUACUAGGUGUGGGGUCCAUUCCACGGGUUCCGUGCCGUAGCUAACGCUUUAAGUACCCCGCCUGGGGAGUACGGCCGCAAGGCUAAAACUCAAAGGAAUUGACGGGGCCCCGCACAAGCGGCGGAGCAUGCGGAUUAAUUCGAUGCAACGCGUAGAACCUUACCUGGGUUUGACAUGGAUCGGGAGUGCUCAGAGAUGGGUGUGCCUCUUUUGGGGUCGGUUCACAGGUGGUGCAUGGCUGUCGUCAGCUCGUGUCGUGAGAUGUUGGGUUAAGUCCCGCAACGAGCGCAACCCUUGUUCACUGUUGCCAGCACGUUAUGGUGGGGACUCAGUGGAGACCGCCGGGGUCAACUCGGAGGAAGGUGGGGAUGACGUCAAGUCAUCAUGCCCCUUAUGUCCAGGGCUUCACGCAUGCUACAAUGGCUGGUACAGAGAGUGGCGAGCCUGUGAGGGUGAGCGAAUCUCGGAAAGCCGGUCUCAGUUCGGAUUGGGGUCUGCAACUCGACCUCAUGAAGUCGGAGUCGCUAGUAAUCGCAGAUCAGCAACGCUGCGGUGAAUACGUUCCCGGG
This 1343-nucleotide ribosomal RNA is filed under the name uncultured bacterium. RNAcentral's name for it is "16S ribosomal RNA". It matches the Rfam family "Bacterial small subunit ribosomal RNA", at positions 28 to 1378 of the family's 1533-position model. The record is from RNAcentral.